Molecule: ribosomal RNA, 408 nt
Filed under: uncultured bacterium
Lineage: Bacteria
Description: partial 16S ribosomal RNA
Rfam family: Bacterial small subunit ribosomal RNA
Source: RNAcentral
GACGAACGCUGGCGGCGUGCUUAACACAUGCAAGUCGAACGAAGUGGCGACCGGGUGAGUAACGCGUAAUCAACCUGCCCUUCAGAGGGGGAAAACAGUUGGAAACGACUGCUAAUACCGCAUACUGAAGGGGGGGAUUGAGUCUGAUUAGCUAGUUGGAGGGGUAACGGACAACCAAGGAGAUGAUCAGUAGCCGGUCUGAGAUGAUGAACGGCCAAAGUGGGACUUAGACACGGCCCAGACUCCUACGGGAGGCAGCAGUGGGGAAGGUUCAGAAAGGGACGAAAGUCUGACGGAGGAACGCCGCGUGAGUGAUGACGGCCUUCGGGUUGGAAAGCUCUGUUAAUCGGGACGCGGUACCGGAAUAGAAAGCCACGGCUAACUACGUGCCAGCAGCCGCGGUAAUAC